AAAAACGCAAAUUUUAUGAAAUAAACUUUCGCGUUUUGCAGUUCGCGAAUCGAAGAAAAAGUCUAUUUUUGCGUGAAAAAACUUUCGCGCAUGAGUAAAAAAUAAGAUUUUCUUCUUAAUUUUCCUUAUUUUUCCUGCUUUGUUUAAUGUAAAAACAUUUCUUCAACUUCCCACUCAGAAUCAGUUUCGCCAUAGGUUUCUCCAUCUUCUCCAAUGUACCGCUGAAUUUUGCUACCACAUAACAAAUUGAAAUUCUCCUACCGUGUUAUUUUGAGUCUGUCGAAGACAGAGCCGUUGGCAACCUUUUUGAUUUCCGCCGGCGAAGGCGGAAUCUUUAAUAUCGCCUGGGAAGAUAGAGAGAUAGAUAGAUAGAGACAGCCCAGAGCCUGGACGCCUAAAACUUGUCCGGGCUAAAGCUUAAAUCCUUGUUUUGACAGAUUCUUUUCUGAGAACGAGGCUAAAUUCAGUUUUAAAGACAAUUAAUUCUGAUAUAUAUCACAACCAAAUCUCGGUAUAAGUUACGGGAAAUAGCAAAGCAUGGUUUUCCUUUGUUACGUUGUGUCAUUCGUAAAGAGUGAGCCAAUGACAUAAAUUUUUAGGACUUACGUACAGGGCACUUUGGUUACACUAAUAAGCGCAAGAAAUGAACACAUAAAAUUUGGUACUUAUUACAAAAAUACCAAUGGGUUUGUUUACAAAGAAAACAGCCUCGAUGUUGUUUGAUGUUGUUCUUACAGGUAGCUUAGCUACUAUAGUUACAUUUAGGAUUAAACUAGCAUUUAUUACUUAAUACUCAGUAAAAUAGGUCAAGUUUGAAUAUUAAACUUUUUCGCUAUAGCUAGCUAGACUAAGCAUGAAAGGAGCUGGGUUAAAAGUCAAAACUUAAAGAGGAAAAUUACAUCACAUUUUUUAAGAUUAUACUACACAUAUUUGAGAACACCUGAAAAAUGCAUUGUUCAUCAAGUUACCCCAUAUGGCUAAUAUGGAAGAUUUCUUCAUAAAAAGCAUCAAAACUUUUUUCGUGUGGAUUACUUUUACAUUAACAAAAAUUUAAAAUUUGAAGAUAAACUUUUGCGAUUUUGUCAUUCAUUAGUUUUCAAAUUUCUCGCUGGAAAUUUUUAAGGUUUAAAACCCAUGUCUCACAGUAACUUUUUCGUUCUUAUCCUAAUGUUAAUACGUGAGUUGUGCAACAACUUUUGCAGGAAAAUAAAAACACAUCAAGAGAAAAAGUUUGUUAUUAAAAUAUUAUAAACUAGUUGUUAGCCCGUGGAAAAUCCACGGUUCGCCCAUCCUUUUUAUACUGCAUUGCGUGCUUCUCGCUAUUGCACAGCUAAGCUACCAUUUUGCGUGACAGACAGAUGUAUACGGGUAUUAUAAUAUAGAUUAAUUUCAAACCGAUUAGUCCCUGCAGUCAUUUUGGUGUCAGCGGUAUGAAAAACUAUGCAACAAUACUAAGUAAAAGUCCUAUUACUUCAGUAAAAAUUGAAAUAAUGACUUGAAACUUAGUAUUACAUGUUUUUAGACCAGUUUGAUGAAAUGAACCCAAAAAUUUUUUUUACUACUAUCAUAGCUUCUGAGUUCUUAAUUUUGGCCAUUUUUGGAGACGCCGAUAAACUUUUUUUGACAGCAUAUCAAUUUUGACAAGCCAUGUGUACCGAAAACAUUCUAAGUGAUUCUCAGGAUUAAAAAUAAUUCAAACAGAUAAAAUGUGUCCCAGGUUUAGGACUAAAUACCUUAUCCAGCUCAGAGAAAGUGGGAAUGAGCUUCUAAAGCACAGUGUUAAAUACAUAAUCUAAAUUUUAUGCCGUAUAAAUACAAAGUGGUUAGAAAGUUAUUUUUUGUACACCUGGAUCUGCAACACGUUUACCUUGCACUAAUCGCCCCGUCUGGUGCCACUCGCAAUUAAUUUUUGAAUAUCCACAGGAACUUUUUAUGCAAAAUGAAAAAUGCUAAACAACUGUAUUUGCUUUGCAGAAGUAACAAUAGGCUUUAUCUUUAUCAUAAGUCGUGUGAAUGUUGGUUUAUGAAAAAGAUAUUAUACCCUUAAUGCUAUAAGUGCUCCACUGGAUUUGUAACACAUUACACUAAGUGUCCUCCAUGUGAAACAGUUUACGCUUUACUAAGUCUUAACCUGAAGACUUUAGGUCUUCCCACUUAAAGUGAAUAUUACUUCUGGCUAUACUUUCCCAAAUUUUGUUAUUUCAUAAAAGAAAACUGAAAAUCUACAAAAUUAUUUAUAUAUAUGUGCAGAAAUUUAUUUAUGAAAUAUAGGUUUCAGUUUGUUGUGGAAACAUGUUUACCAACAUGCAAUGUCUUGCAUACCUAACUAGCUAUAUACUCAAGUCUUGAAUGUUCACUGUUAUGGGAGGUCCAAAUAACUACCUAGCUUUUUUUUAUUUAAAAUGACAGAAUGCCUUACAAAAUCUUUUGUGCAGCUAGCUACAUUAAAGCAAUAUAUUUAGCUUUUGUACUUUAUCACUUAAUUAUUUAAUAACAAAUGCGCCCUGGAGUGCUGGCAUGGUACUGGCUAGGUAGCUUAAAAUCACAAAAUAAAUAUUAUCCAGAUGUGACCAUCCCUCAUCAUCAGACAUCGGAACGGCGUUUCUGUUCUUUACUUUUCAUUGUAGGGUACCUCAAAUUCUUGUAAAUCCAAUUAACAAAAAUUACUUAAGAAUUCCUCUUCUUGUAUAUUUGCAGCUUAUUGACACCCUCUUAUUUUAGAAUAUUCUCAGAAAUAAUAGACCAAAAGAAAUUACAUCACAGUUUCUUGUCCACCGCCCACGUGUGUUUGAGAACAACCCACACAAAAAAAUUGUGUGCAAUGGGAGUGAGUGAUGUAAUCUUUCAAUGCGUGUGAUGAAAAGAAAGCGAAACCGUUAUUGUUUUUUCUGCCAAAAAUUUAUUUAAUAAAUCUUGAUAAAGUUAAAAAACUGUUUUGA
This is a long non-coding RNA of Hydractinia symbiolongicarpus, 2939 nucleotides long. RefSeq lists it as uncharacterized. The transcript has 2 exons. NCBI's taxonomy places the organism in Eukaryota, Metazoa, Cnidaria, Hydrozoa, Anthoathecata, Hydractiniidae. The record is from RefSeq and is a predicted model, not a curated record.